Molecule: ribosomal RNA, 460 nt
Filed under: uncultured bacterium
Lineage: Bacteria
Description: partial 16S ribosomal RNA
Rfam family: Bacterial small subunit ribosomal RNA
Source: RNAcentral
CCUACGGGGGGCAGCAGUGAGGAAUAUUGGUCAAUGGACGAGAGUCUGAACCAGCCAAGUAGCGUGAAGGAUGACUGCCCUAUGGGUUGUAAACUUCUUUUAUAAAGGAAUAAAACGAGGCACGUGUGCCUUUUUGCAUGUACUUUAUGAAUAAGGAUCGGCUAACUCCGUGCCAGCAGCCGCGGUAAUACGGAGGAUCCGAGCGUUAUCCGGAUUUGUUGGGUUUAAAGGGAGCGUAGAUGGGUUGUUAAGUCAGUUGUGAAAGUUUGCGGCUCAACCGUAAAAUUGCAAUUGAUACUGGCAGUCUUGAGUACAGUUGAGGUAGGCAGAAUUCGUGGUGUAGCGGUGAAAUGCGUAGAUAUCACGAAGAACCCCGAUGGCGAAGGCAGCUUACUAAACUGUGACUGACAUUGAUGCUCGAAAGUGUGGGUAUCAAACAGGAUUAGAUACCCCGGUAGUC